UCUGGCCAUUCACUGGAAUGCCAGUCAAGGUCCACCUACUCGCAGGGUCAGCACAUGCCACCCAGUCCUCAGCCCUCCUGGGGCUCCCCUAUCACCAAAUUCUAUCCACAUUGUUAUUUCAAAUACUUAGUUUUCUUUUCUCAAGAAGAUGGCAAGUUUUCAAGGAUGCGCCAGGAUGACACUUUUGAAUUCUUUCCAUAUGGCCUCCCCUAAGAAAUAGGGUUUAGCAUCCAAGAGACCUGGGUUACGAUGAUUUUAUCCCUUGCUAGCUAUGUUCCUUCAAUCAAGUAUCUCCACCUCUCUGAGCUUCACUCUUCUGACCUGUAGGGCUAAUAAGAAGUCCCUAAGUCUUCUUGUGAGCUUAGAAGUAUCUAUCCCUCUCUGCCAUGAGUAUGUCUCUCAUGGCACUUAGCAUAGGGCCAAGCACUAAGUUACUCGGGAUUGUCCUAAGCAUGGCCCGAGUUCCCACUCAGGACCUCAACUGUCCCUCUAUAAAGCAGGGCAGGGUCUCUGGGCCACAUGGUCUCUUUGGCCCUUUCAGCCUAAUCUAUGACUGAGAUAGGAGCCAGUGAGUUCCACGGUCUUAGGCAGCCCAAGUUCUAGGCCUGGGUCUACCACAGGGGCUACCAGCCCUGGAAAAGAUGGAAGCUUUGUGGGCUUGUCCCCUGUCUGCACCAACGGGUUGGGCUGGCUGAGCUCCCAGGGCCCUUCCAGCUUGGACAUUCCAAAACCCUGUGAAAGAAGAUGAGUAGCGGCCAGUUCUGGGUGGGGCCCAUAAUCUCUGCCCUCCAGAGACCCUGGGUGGGGAGGUUGGGAAGGGUCACUGGCAGGGUGCCAGGCCUUGUGUGAGCCUGGAGCACAGCCACCAGAGGACCAGCGAGCAGGCAGCAGGAACGGAAGGCUGUGGGCUGGAGGGAAUAAAACAUGUGGGUAGGAAACACAAUGAGAUUCCCUUUGGCUCGGAGCCCUCCCCGGCAUGCGGGCUGCACACAGACCCAAGCCACGGGCGCAUGCAGGACAGGGGCGGGGAGCCGUCCCCUCCCAGGCUGAGUGGGCAGGAAGCCAGCUCCAGCUCCCAGACUCCAUCCAGCCUGGCAGCUGAAAGGGCAGAGCCAGUGAGAGGCCGAUGCCCUUCCUGGUUCUAAGGAUGGAUGCAUCAGAGAAAGGGAAAGGUUAUUAGCUGAGCUCUGGCAGGGAUCCUAUGCUGCUCGACCUCCCUGACCCUGUUGUCCACCCUGGAAAGAAUCAUUAUCCAUCAUGCCCAUUCCAUAGAUGUGGGUCCUAAGGCCAGAGGAAGCUGUGAUCUGACCAGUGGAGCCCAGGUUGGUGAGACUCCAAAGCCUGUGCUCUGAGGCCCACUUCUGGGGGGAGGGAGAGGUGCCUACAUGGCUGAGUCUUUGAGAAUCUGUAACGUCUCAGGCCAGUUGAUCUCUCUGAGCCCUUCCACCCCACACCCUCAGAACCAGCCAGGGUUGUCAAAGGUGAGAGGGCCAAGGGACUCUUGGCGACAGGAGCAAAUGGGGUACAGGGAGUGAGGGGCUAGGAGGCCUCUACUCCUGCUGCCCUGUACAUCUGCAGACUGUCCCAGCAGCCUCUGCCUUCCCAUCUCCAUAGCCCAAGGCCCUCUCCAACUGCACAAAAAAUACCCGCCCUCAGGGUGCCCACUCAGGCCCCUCCACCCAUAGGCCAGGCUCUCUAGAAGCCUAGACAAGACAUGGAAGCAGCUGAGCCUGCUGGGCUGCCCCCAGAGACCUGCUGGAGGCACUGAAACUGCCUAGGCCGACCCCUCCCUUCUCAUUGCAGCCCUCCUACCUCUCCAGGCUCGUCCAAGAUCGACAUCCAUCCCUUCUUGAAGUUGAGCAGAUCGGGCUGUGGGAAGAUGAGGAGGCAGAUAAUUUAGGCCCGGUGGAGAACCAACCAGGGCUGGGGAGGAGGGAGUGUUGCAUCCAUUCUUCCCCUGAGUCCUGUGAGACUGAGGUCCUGGGAAACCAGGAGGGGGGCACUGAAGGCCCAGGUAACCCCCAAAUCCAGGCAGGUUCCCCGGCCACGGAGGCAGCCUUGGCCCCUUUCCCCAACAACCUGAGAGCCAAGAGCAAUGGUAGGCAGGAUGACUGGCACAUCCCCAUCAAUAUCAGGCUCCCCUUCCCACCAGCCUACCUCCUCACUGAAGAGUAGGAGUGAGGGCCCAGAAGAACCCUGCCUAUCAAGACCCCGAGAGCUCUAAGAACAGUCUGGACCGGCAGGGCUGAGCAAACUGUCCAGUUCCUCUCACUGACAAGACCAGGAGACCCACCAGGAGAAUAUCUUAAUGCCCCGCUCAUCCCCCGCUCACUGAUCUUCCUGUGUUCUGACAAGCUCUGCCCUUUUUGUGUCUCCUGCAGACCCUGAAAGAUGGAGCCAGGCCCAGGCCAGCGUCAGGGAUUCUCUGGUCCCCUCCAGAUCUCUGGGAGGGCCAGGAAGAUGGCACCUCAGUGUCAGCAAGCCCUACCUGCUGGGUGCUGCCCAGUGGGGCAUGGCUCAGAGGUCUGGGGGCUCCCAGCUGCAGCAUGGCCCACAGAGGCCUGUGAGCUAGAUACCCCCACCUGGGCCUAGAUGAAGCAGCAGCUCAGCCAGGCAUUUUCUCCGGCCGUGCCCAUCCGGUGGGCUCCAACCACCACACCCUCCCAGCCCACUGACAAGACUUCUCUCUUGUCUAAGUCCUGCUCCCUUCAGUAGUGUCAGCUUCUGCCCACUGGCAGGGAGGAGAGUGGGGCGGGCCAGGCUAUGGGCAGAGGAGGCAGCCACCUGUUGCCAUGGCUCUGAGCCCACCUAUCAGCACCGGCAUCACAACCUCACCAGGCCAAGGUGUCUGGUUGCGUGGAAGGAGCCUGCAGCAUGGCCCAGUGGGGUAGGCAGCAGAGACAGCAGCUGGAAAUCGGAGCCACCUGACCUGGCCACCUCCCCUGACCCACCUGCCGCCCGUUCUCCUCUUCCUCAGGUAGAGGAAGUGGCUUAAGAGGGGCUUGGGCCAGCAGCCCCACCCUUGCGGGGCAGCCCCUCCUGCAUACCUGUCUGAGGGAGAGGACAGGGCUCCAUUCAGAGCUGGGAAACCCCGGGGCUGUGUUUGCCCCGUGUCUCUCCAUUCUCCCCUACCCUGCUCUCCACAAGUGCCAGAGGCUGCUUAGGGAGGUCUCAAGCUAAGACCAAAGACUGGCAGCUACACUCAGAGCCACCAAAUCACCAGGGUGACCUCCAUUCAGACCGGAACCUCCAGUGAGGAACCUAGAGCCCCGGAACCCCCCCAGGGCCUGGCGCGCUGUGACUAGGCCUCGACAAAAACCUGCUGAAUAAAUAUUACCCUCAUUUACCUUCCUGGUCUAAAUUCCCGCGCUCUGGGGGCAGUCGUCACCCCCCACUCCCCCGGCCUGGAGAAGCCAGGCUACCUGGGAUGGCCCGCAGAGCUGGCAUCAGGGGAAAGCUCCUGGGAAGCACCAGCCACUGCUUUAGGCCAGGAAAUCAGCUGCAAACAGGAGAUGUGGCCCCUGCCCUGGUGGAACUCAGGAAACAGACAAUAAACAAGUGGACAGACAAAGAAACAGAGUCCCAGGGACCUGAAGUUCUUUCCCGCGUUUCCCACUGGACCGCCUCUUCUCCACCCUGAGGAAUGAGGCCAAGAACAAGCCUAUCUUCCUUUAGACACUGGCCUUCCUGCCUUCGUGUGCCCUACGCCUGUACCUCACUCAGGCAUUUGGUCCUUGAUAGAGUGAGUGAAUAAACAGAAGACCCCACCUACCACCAGUGCCCUGGCCCAGUGGCCCCUGACAGCACCAGCCUCCUUGCUGCUUUCCUGGCCUCUGGGACUCGGCUUGUAAUACCCUUAACCCAGCGAUCAGAUCACUCUCCUGCUCAAAGUUCAACACCUCCCCCGUGCUAAUAGAUCAGCUCUGCAUUCUUGUUCCAGGCUGUCAGCGUCCAUCAUAAUCUGACCCCUGCCUGUUGUCCUCCAUCACCACACACACACACACACACACACACACACACAUUUUACGUGCUAGGGAUACAUCACACUGAGCAACUGGGAAUUCCCAGAUUAAGCCAGGUCCUUUAUACCUGAAAUGGGACUACACUUGUGGUUCUCUGAAACACUCCAUUUCCUGUCCUUUGUGCCCCAACACACACACACACACACACACACACACUCCCUUCUGUCCCCCACCCCUUCCUCCCCUCUCUGCAAAUGUUUGUUUUGCCUGGAAAAUUUCACCUGGCCCUCCAGGUCUCUCAGUCCAAAAGGAGCCAAAGUGCCCCCAGGAGAAUCUCCUCGCGCAGGGCUCCCUGCAUCGGACAUUCAGCCACUAAAGUGAUGACCACACUGUGUUCUCAUCAGUUACAUGUCAGUGGCCUCACCAAAUUGAGUUUCCUGUGGGCUGAGCCUGUAUCUUGGAGGCCAGCCCAGGGCCCCAGUGCAUAGUAGGUCUUCAGUAAACAUCGGUCUAGGGAAGGCAUGCACAAAUGGAGGGAUGGGUCCCUUACCACAGCUUGUCCCUAGUAGGACGGAGCUAGUACAGACCUAGGAAUCCAGGGCCACCAAACUCCGGGGUUAUCCAUGUCAAACUGCUACCCUAUUGAGGAGAACACCAUGAGGCUGAGAAGGGGUGACGAUGGCCCAAAGCCAUGCACAUUGGUGACAGACAGGACUCAAGCCUAGGGUUCCUGACUCUUGACCUUGGACCAGUUUCACUCUCCAACACAAGAGAUGUUUGAAGCUGCUCUAAGUAACUGUCUGGGAGGCCCCGCUGGCAGUUCCAUUCCCAGCUCCUGAGUUUCCUCUUUCCCAGAUGAGAGAGGAAACGGCUGCCAACUCAGCCUCCAUGGCCACAUUUGUCUAAUGGGGAAAAAUCUGUGGAGAUUCUCUGCAAGCAGGGCUUGGAGCUCAGGAUGCAAAGAGGUGGGAGGGCUCCGCAGUCAGCCCGAGCAGGGUUCAAAUCUCAGUUCUGCCCCUGGUGUGACCUAGAACAAGUGGCUUUUCUCCUCCCCGGGUUUCACUUUCUCAUCUGUAAAAUGGACAAUACACACUGUACUUAGUAUGCCUGGUGCUGAGGGUUAAAUGCGCUCAGGCAUGUCACUCACUGAACAUGGAGCUGAGCAAAAGGAGGUGCCCAUUGGUUCUCAUCACCAGCACCAUUAUCCCAGAGUCCUUCCCCCUGUUUCUGUGCCCUUCUCUCUGCCAGUGACUUACCUGCUCCCUCCUGCCAGACCUGCCGCACGUUGGCAACCUUUACUUAGUGUGAUAAGGUAAUUCCCGCCCAGGGUUUGAAGGUACCACCCUGCCCAGAUAACCUUGUUUGUCUGAUCACCCUAGUGCCUUAACCCCCAAAAGCAGCAGAGAGGAAAUCAUAAGGUAUCAGGGAAAGUUAGUGUUUAGAUCUCCCCCCACCCCCCGGCCCACCCUUGCACCUCUGUGCAUCCUGAGCAACCUGCUCUCU
Canis lupus familiaris (dog) is the source of this 5465-nucleotide long non-coding RNA. RefSeq lists it as uncharacterized. The record is from RefSeq and is a predicted model, not a curated record. The transcript is spliced from 3 exons. NCBI's taxonomy places the organism in Eukaryota, Metazoa, Chordata, Mammalia, Carnivora, Canidae.